Molecule: ribosomal RNA, 631 nt
Filed under: Barnettozyma californica
Lineage: Eukaryota; Fungi; Ascomycota; Saccharomycetes; Phaffomycetales; Phaffomycetaceae
Description: eukaryotic LSU rRNA
Rfam family: Eukaryotic large subunit ribosomal RNA
Source: RNAcentral
AGCCCAUUUUAUACCCCCCCAAAUUUGACCUCAAAUCAGGUAGGACUACCCGCUGAACUUAAGCAUAUCAAUAAGCGGAGGAAAAGAAACCAACAGGGAUUGCCUCAGUAACGGCGAGUGAAGCGGCAAAAGCUCAAAUUUGAAAUCUGGCUGCUUUUUUAGUAGUCCGAGUUGUAAUUUGAAGAAUAGAUCCUUGGAGAGGCGCCUUGUCUAUGUUCCUUGGAACAGGACGUCGCAGAGGGUGAGAAUCCCGUUUGGCGAGGUGUGCUGAUCCGUGUAAGGGCUGUUCGACGAGUCGAGUUGUUUGGGAAUGCAGCUCUAAGUGGGUGGUAAAUUCCAUCUAAAGCUAAAUAUUGGCGAGAGACCGAUAGCGAACAAGUACAGUGAUGGAAAGAUGAAAAGAACUUUGAAAAGAGAGUGAAAAAGUACGUGAAAUUGUUGAAAGGGAAGGUUAUUAGAUCAGACUUGGAUUUUUUAUUAUAUUUGUCUCCUUGUGGGGCAUUCACUAAUUUUUAAUCCAGGCCAGCAUCGAUUGGGAUGGCGGGAAAAAGAGGGAGGAACGUGGCUGUGCAUUUAUGUGCAGUGUUUAUAGCCUUUCUUAAUACCGCCUGUCUCGAUCGAGGACUGCGGC